CUAGGAGAGCCGAAAACAGUUCUAGACAGACCUGGGGUUUUAUAGCAGUUUUGGCAGUCAACUUCAGCUUGUGCCUGAGCAGACCGGCUGCGGUGGCCCGCCAGCGGGGGACGCCAGGCCGUCUCCCCCAGCUGCACCUCUCCUAAUUAGAUCGGGGUUUCCCCUUGGUGCUAGGGAGAGGGGGUCCCCGCAGAAAGG
Non-coding RNA from Equus caballus (horse), 198 nucleotides. The record is from Rfam. Lineage: Eukaryota; Metazoa; Chordata; Mammalia; Perissodactyla; Equidae.